This 523-nucleotide ribosomal RNA is filed under the name uncultured bacterium. RNAcentral's name for it is "bacterial SSU rRNA". It matches the Rfam family "Bacterial small subunit ribosomal RNA", at positions 315 to 857 of the family's 1533-position model. The record is from RNAcentral.
GGAACUGAGACACGGUCCAAACUCCUACGGGAGGCAGCAGUGGGGAAUAUUGCACAAUGGGCGAAAGCCUGAUGCAGCAACGCCGCGUGAGUGAUGAAGGCCUUCGGGUCGUAAAACUCUGUCCUCAAGGAAGAUAAUGACGGUACUUGAGGAGGAAGCCCCGGCUAACUACGUGCCAGCAGCCGCGGUAAUACGUAGGGGGCUAGCGUUAUCCGGAUUUACUGGGCGUAAAGGGUGCGUAGGCGGUCUUUCAAGUCAGGAGUGAAAGGCUACGGCUCAACCGUAGUAAGCUCUUGAAACUGGGAGACUUGAGUGCAGGAGAGGAGAGUGGAAUUCCUAGUGUAGCGGUGAAAUGCGUAGAUAUUAGGAGGAACACCAGUUGCGAAGGCGGCUCUCUGGACUGUAACUGACGCUGAGGCACGAAAGCGUGGGGAGCAAACAGGAUUAGAUAUCCUGGUAGUCCACGCUGUAAACGAUGAGUACUAGGUGUCGGGGGUUACCCCCCUCGGUGCCGCAGCUAACG